This 253-nucleotide ribosomal RNA is filed under the name uncultured bacterium. RNAcentral's name for it is "partial 16S ribosomal RNA". It matches the Rfam family "Bacterial small subunit ribosomal RNA", at positions 524 to 776 of the family's 1533-position model. The record is from RNAcentral.
UACGUAGGGGGCAAGCGUUGUCCGGAUUUAUUGGGCGUAAAGAGCGUGUAGGCGGCCUGAAAGGUCAGCUGUGAAAACUCGAGGCUCAACCUCGAGACGUCGGUUGAAACCAUCUGGCUAGAGUCCGGAAGAGGAGUGUGGAAUUCCUGGUGUAGCGGUGAAAUGCGCAGAUAUCAGGAGGAACACCGAUGGCGAAGGCAGGUCUCUGGGCCACUACUGACGCUGAGAAGCGAAAGCAUGGGGAGCGAACAGG